RNAcentral lists this long non-coding RNA (1163 nucleotides) under Apteryx owenii (little spotted kiwi). Its description in RNAcentral is "lncRNA (ENSAOWG00000019172.1)". Lineage: Eukaryota; Metazoa; Chordata; Aves; Apterygiformes; Apterygidae. The record is from RNAcentral.
CUGAAAUCCCUCAGGAUUUUGUCAAUGGCACUGUUGGCCAGUCCGUGCUCCUACCUGUCUCCUACAAAUUUAUGAAUCCCUCUCACUUCCCACUGCCAUUUGAAUGGACAUUCCAUAACCGCUCUGAGCCAAUUGCCUCCUGCACGGUGAUGAACUGCUCCCUGAGUGCUGAGGGGGCUCCCAAGAACUGCUCUGAAAACCAUUUCACACAUGCCGCAUACCAAGGUCGUGCUGUGCUUUUCGCUGAGAACGCAUCCCUGCUGCUCCGGGACCUGCAGCUCAGUGACAGCGGGGUGUACAACAUCACCUUCAAACAGCAGCUYCAAACCAGGCAGAUCACCUUAACUGUGUACAACCCUCAUUUCAGCCUUAAAAAUCCAGGUGCAGUUCAACAGAAGAAAACGAGAAUCAUUAGACAACAAGAGGUCUCAAAUGCUGAGUCGUCUCCCAUGGAAAGUACCAUGAUGAGGGAUGGAGCAACUAUUUAUGCCAGAGUUGGAGACAGCUUUGAACAGCCACAGCCGAGAACAACACCAGAAGUUGUGUACAUGUCCGUAACCUUCUCUGAUCCAUCAGGACCGGAUUGCCCACUGUCGUCUUGUGCAGCGACUGUGGAUCUGCCUCAAGAGGGAGUCUUGAACUUUGCUAAAUAUAGUCCUGUUUCAAAGUGAAGAGGAUAUUUUUGUCACUGACUCUCUCUGCUGAUGUGACCCUCAGUGCUCUUACUCCAGCAGCUCUUAGUCUGCACACUGAGUGCAGGCUGUAGAGGAUUUGGAGCUACCGAGUAUGGAAAUGCCUUAGUUUGCCUCGAUUUGCAGUCUCUCUUGAAUUUGAGGAAUGAGUUGGUUUUAGUUUCUUCUUGAUACUUCCCGAGAGUACAAAGACACACAGCGUAAGAGAAAGAUUCAUAAGGCAAAAGCAGAUCAACAAUUUGGUCCAUGGGAACCUUACUUCCAUAGACUCACCUUAACUGGAGGGGUAACAGACAACAGUAAAUGGAUCUUAAUCAUGUGUCCCAGGUUCACUGCCAACGGUCUUGUCAUAUUAAAAGAAUAGAUGAAGAUUAUUUGGACUGAAAAGUUGUCCUUAUUUUUUGGAGCGUUCCAAGUAAUUGUGGUGUGUAUUCUUCCUGCAAUGAGAUUAGCUUAACCUUAGGAUCCCAG